Molecule: long non-coding RNA, 863 nt
Organism: Macrobrachium nipponense
Lineage: Eukaryota; Metazoa; Arthropoda; Malacostraca; Decapoda; Palaemonidae
Exons: 4
Source: RefSeq, a predicted model, not a curated record
GUAAUUUUAGUCUAGUGAGUGAGUGUGGAUUUUGCUCUUAUAAUCAGAAGAGAAAGGCAGAUUAACCUUCCGGAUCAUAUAACAUUAACAACAUUUAUGGGUAUUCUAGAUGAGGGAGAAUGACAUAUCGUCAGUGAUAGUACCUGAAAUAUUCUCAUUAUUCAAAUACAGAAAAAAAAAUGACCCCAUUGUGAUGGCGUCUGCAACCAACCGCACCUGCACAAACACCCGAAGAAAGAAAUACACCUGGCUCGUAUUUUGCUCUGUUUGUCUGGUGGUCAUGUUCAAAUACUUUCAUUUCGGGAGCAUGUUAGUUCCCAGUCCUCUCGCUAGAUCCAGGGAGCCUCUUGGCAGGAUUCCGAGGGAGGGCGAAUGGUACGACCUGCUGUGUCCCCGAUACCGUCUCCAGAAGAUGGCUAAGCCCUCGCAGCUCAAAUGGCGCCCCCCGAAUGAGGACUCGAUUUUCUUCACGCAGACGUCCUGUGGACUCAACUUCAAUGGACGCCAGGCAUGUGCCGUUGAGAGUGCAGCUCGCCACCAUCGCCACCGGUCAGUUACCGUUUACGUCACUGCUCCCUUAAUUGAUAUGUCACAUCCCUUGAUAAAGAUCCUCACCAAUCUGCACAACGUCUUUUUCUCUUUGCUUGACCUUGAUGAACUGUUUUUGGACUCUCCUCUUCAGCGUUGGUACCAGGGGAAACGUUGGCUGAUUAAUGAAGAGCACCAAAGUGCCUUUAUAUCUGACGCCUCCAGAGCCGAGAUCCUGAGAAAAUAUGGUGGCACUUACAUGGACAUGGAUGCCUUGACUCUUCGACCACUUCCAAACAGGACCAAUUAUUUGGGACGACUCGACAGUCAAACAA